AUUGAACGCUGGCGGCAGGCCUAACACAUGCAAGUCGAGCGGAUGAGAGGAGCUUGCUCCUGGAUUCAGCGGCGGACGGGUGAGUAAUGCCUAGGAAUCUGCCUGGUAGUGGGGGACAACGUUUCGAAAGGAACGCUAAUACCGCAUACGUCCUACGGGAGAAAGCAGGGGACCUUCGGGCCUUGCGCUAUCAGAUGAGCCUAGGUCGGAUUAGCUAGUUGGUGAGGUAAUGGCUCACCAAGGCGACGAUCCGUAACUGGUCUGAGAGGAUGAUCAGUCACACUGGAACUGAGACACGGUCCAGACUCCUACGGGAGGCAGCAGUGGGGAAUAUUGGACAAUGGGCGAAAGCCUGAUCCAGCCAUGCCGCGUGUGUGAAGAAGGUCUUCGGAUUGUAAAGCACUUUAAGUUGGNAGNAANGGCAGUAACUUAAUACGUUGCUGUUUGA
Molecule: ribosomal RNA, 448 nt
Filed under: Pseudomonas sp. R-42020
Lineage: Bacteria; Pseudomonadati; Pseudomonadota; Gammaproteobacteria; Pseudomonadales; Pseudomonadaceae
Description: bacterial SSU rRNA
Rfam family: Bacterial small subunit ribosomal RNA
Source: RNAcentral